GGGAUAACCAUCCUCUUCAUCUUAUCAUAUGGAGGUGGGACACCCUCAUAAGUCUUCAAACGUGCAAGUGCAGCCUCCCCACGCUUCGUCUUGUGUGGGAUCAUUCCACGGACGGUACGCCAGAAGAUCUUAGCAGGGGCGCGGAAGUGAAUGGGUCCAUGAGAAGGCUUGGUGUUCAUACGCUUGCGAAGGAAUCUCAUGUACUUCAUCUUCUGCCUUACCAGUCCUCCGGACAUGCAAAUCUCCUCACACCGUACCACCACCACUUUCUGCCCGUUCAGAAGCUCCUUCGCCACCGUCGACGCCAGCCGCCCCAGCAUAUGAUGCCUCGCGUCCACCACCACCACCUUCGCACAUAUCCCCGAUCCGGACACCAUUUUUGCACUCUCUCUCUCCCUCUCUCUCUCUCGCUACUGUCCUUUAAAUGCAAGUGGUAUAUAAGAGGAGGAUGGCUAGGGCUUUUGUAGGGUUAUUAAAUG
Molecule: unclassified non-coding RNA, 479 nt
Filed under: Hevea brasiliensis (rubber tree)
Lineage: Eukaryota; Viridiplantae; Streptophyta; Magnoliopsida; Malpighiales; Euphorbiaceae
Source: RNAcentral